CUGCCAGAAAGACUUGCUGGGCUGUUCUUUGGAGCAGCAGGCCUGCGGGUGAAGACUGUACUCCGUAGGCUGACUACCUAAGGACCAUGCCUUGAGGACUGAGACACCUUGCUGACUUGUUCACCUGCUUGGUGGUCACAAAUGCAUGUGAAGUGGCCAGAAAGAAGGUCCAACUCUGUCCUAGAGCUGUGAGGUGACCUAUGUUCCACUCUAACCAACAAAGCCCAGAAAUGAAGGUGAGUGAUUUCAGCAGGAGACAUGAAUGACUUAAAGGAUUUUCUCUCAAGCAAGCAAGUGCAUUCUUCUUAAGACUUCCAUCAUGAAAUAAUUAAAUGUAAUAAUUGACUUGUACAACUUCCUUUAUAAAUUCAUAUUUGGAGACAAAUGUUUCUUCUAACAUAAGUUAUCUUGAGAUAAAAUUGCAGUAAUUUUAUUUGGCUAGUUUUGAUAAAUAAUUCAGCAUAGUCCUUCCUUGAAACCAAGUGCUCUGCUGAGACAUAACACAUUUCAGAGCAUUUGUCAGAUCAUGUUAGAAGUGUUUUGACAUGACAUGAAAAAGGAAGACCUGAUGAAUUUAUAGUUCCAAUCAGAGUAUCCGAGACAGAUUAAAAUUAAAUCUACACAUUCACAAAAUAUGAGUUUCUCCUUGUUUCUCUUCAGCAGCAUUUCCCAUUAGUUAAAUCUUGUUUCUUCAAUAGGUGAACCAGAAACCGGACUUUUUUUUAGCUAAUGAAAAUACACAUAUGGGGAAAAUACACAGUUGAUGUAUACUCACCCAGUGUUUGAAAUAAGAUGAAGUUUGCAACAGAAACCCUCAAACUUCCAUCAAACAAGCUGAGGUAAUAGAUACGCCACCCGUGCUUAUGCAAAAAUGGCUGAAACAUCGUAAUUCUUUUUAUAAGUCUCCUGGCUUGAUUUCUACCAAAAAGUAAACAUCAAAUCUAUCUUGAGUAGGUUACCUCAGCUGCCUCCCUGUAAAAGAGGAGCCAUUAGAUACUCCUUUAAUGUUUGCAGAACUUGAGAACAUGUAAUAGAAUUCCCCCUUGUCUAACAACUAGCCUCCAUGAUUUCUCCAAUUUCUUCAAGCAUUUUUAAUAGACUUUUUCUCUUCAGAUGUUGAGUGUGCUCAUUGAGUUUGAAAGAUUGACCUAUUCACCCUUCACCAUUUUAGGUGUAAGAAAAAUUCUAUAGGCCAAACCUAUAAAAGGUUCUGAAGCAAAGUCACGGUUAAAUUUCUUUUGCAAACAAGACUUUGCUGCAGAUACUGGGCAAGAUCUGGUGGAAUUUUUCUUUCCAGUGUAUGUCAAAUUCAAUUUAUUGGCAGCAGAAAGUAAAAGCAGAGAAUAGAGAAACAUGUAGGUUUUUUUGGUGUGUUUUUUUUUGUUUUGUUUUCGUUUUUUGUUGUUGUUGUUGUUGUUUUUCUUUUUUUUUGUUUGUUUGUUUUUUGUUUUUUUUUUACCUCAGUAUAAAUGGCAAGAUUUUGGUAUUGGGAGAGGGUAGUGCUGCAAGUUUUCAGUGCUUAAAUGUUUGUCUUCCUUCCUUUCCUGUAUCUGCAUGAGUAAUUAAAUGGUUAGGUUAUGUGAGUUGGCAAUAAAUUAAAUUACACAAAUUGAGUCUGUUUUGCUUGUAACAGUAACUGCUUGGCAAUUUAACUGUCUUUGACCCACAAGUUUCCUUUCUUUUGUUCUUAUUUUCUUCUGCAAUUCACUGAAGGGGGUGGAGUGAGCAAGUGGCUGUGUGGUACUCAGCUGCUUACUGGGGCCAACCCACCACAGUCUUUUAAAUUACCUGAUUUGUUAUAAUUUAAUAUCAAUUUUUCCAUCUCCAUUUUUAUCAGCCAGCUUGCUUUGUGUCUUGUAUUACAGCAACAUUCUUAUUGGACAGAAAGAUCAAAAGGUUAAUACUGGAUCUUAUCAAAACUUUACCAAUUCUGACCUUGAUCUAUGGUCUUUUUAUUUUUUUUGUUUUCAUCUCUCAUUUAUAUGAAUAAAGAAACACAUGCAGUUAUGCAGUUAGUUUUUAUUCUUCUGUAAUGAAUCGUUAAUACUUCACUUCCUGAUCUCUCAUGUUUAGCAUUCCUUACUCACUCCUAAUAUCCUUCUUGAGAUGAUUCAAGGGGUUAUGCCUGGACCUUUUCUCUCAGUUCUGGCCACCUUGCUUGCAGUGCUAACUCCAGACCAUUUGUGCAUGUUUGCUCUAGAGAUGUUACAAACGUUCUCCACACUUAAAUAUUUGAGUAUCUUUUGUGUUUUGUUUUGUUUUUGUGUGUAUGUGUUUUGGUUUGUUAGUGUUUUUUUAAAAAAAUUAUGAUUUUUCUAUCUCCUCAUACACUUGAAGAAAUAAAAGGGCUUCCAGGCUUGGGAAGUGUAUUCCUCCACUAUCUAAAAAGAGCAGUUGUAAGACAGGUGAAGUAAAAGAAGAUGGAAUUGAUCAGCAACUUUCUUCUGAUAAAGUGACAACGCAAGUUUCAUUUCUAGGAAUCGUUAUGUCUUUUAUUCAGGAAGUGACCUUAGUGGAUAAAGAGCAGCAAACCUGCGUUUUAUUUCUUUCUGUCAUCAGUUGAAUUUAAAUUCUUAUGAAUAUCAGAUGUACCUUUCCAUCCACUAUUGGAUUAUAAUGCACUAGACUGUCCAGUUUUUUGUAUAUCUACCCACACGUUGGCUUCGUGCAGUGCAGUAUUGAACAGCAAGUAGGAUAAUUCUGUCAUAGUAUAUUUUCAGUAUAUGUAUACUACCUGUGGUAGAAUUAAUUAUAGAUACUGAAUAUAUCAAAUAGAAUUUCUAGUAUUAUUCUGAAAAAAUAUUAUUUGAUUAAUUGCUGUAAAUUAUUAAUAUUUCAUGUAGGAAUUAUUGUCCUGAUUGAAUUGUCUAUUCCCUUAUAACAUGCAUUUGUCACAUGAAAAUAAGCAGUACCCUAACCCUACAUCUGCAAAAAAUAAGAGAUGAAUCAGUCACAGCCUGAAUAUGUCUAAUAUGGAGCUUGGCAGUAAUGUAUAUGAAAAUCCAAUGGCUGAUUUUAAACAAGUAUUCAUUGAAACUUAACAGAUACAGUU
Molecule: long non-coding RNA, 3052 nt
Organism: Columba livia (rock pigeon)
Lineage: Eukaryota; Metazoa; Chordata; Aves; Columbiformes; Columbidae
Exons: 3
Source: RefSeq, a predicted model, not a curated record